RNAcentral lists this ribosomal RNA (284 nucleotides) under Blautia luti. RNAcentral's name for it is "partial 16S ribosomal RNA". It matches the Rfam family "Bacterial small subunit ribosomal RNA", at positions 492 to 776 of the family's 1533-position model. The record is from RNAcentral. Lineage: Bacteria; Bacillati; Bacillota; Clostridia; Lachnospirales; Lachnospiraceae.
UAUGGUAAUUGUGUGCCAGCCUCCGCUUUACUACGUAGGUGGCAAGCGUUAUCCGGAUUUACUGGGUGUAAAGGGAGCGUAGACGGAUGGACAAGUCUGAUGUGAAAGGCUGGGGCUCAACCCCGGGACUGCAUUGGAAACUGCCCGUCUUGAGUGCCGGAGAGGUAAGCGGAAUUCCUAGUGUAGCGGUGAAAUGCGUAGAUAUUAGGAGGAACACCAGUGGCGAAGGCGGCUUACUGGACGGUAACUGACGUUGAGGCUCGAAAGCGUGGGGAGCAAACAGG